AUUGAACGCUGGCGGCAGGCCUAACACAUGCAAGUCGAGCGGAUGAAGGGAGCUUGCUCCUGGAUUCAGCGGCGGACGGGUGAGUAAUGCCUAGGAAUCUGCCUGGUAGUGGGGGAUAACGUCCGGACACGGGCGCUAAUACCGCAUACGUCCUGAGGGAGAAAGUGGGGGAUCUUCGGACCUCACGCUAUCAGAUGAGCCUAGGUCGGAUUAGCUAGCUGGUGGGGUAAAGGCCUACCAAGGCGACGAUCCGUAACUGGUCUGAGAGGAUGAUCAGUCACACUGGAACUGAGACACGGUCCAGACUCCUACGGGAGGCAGCAGUGGGGAAUAUUGGACAAUGGGCGAAAGCCUGAUCCAGCCAUGCCGCGUGUGUGAAGAAGGUCUUCGGAUUGUAAAGCACUUUAAGUUGGGAGGAAGGGCAGUAAGUUAAUACCUUGCUGUUUUGACGGUACCAACAGAAUAAGCACCGGCUAACUUCGUG
RNAcentral lists this ribosomal RNA (484 nucleotides) under uncultured bacterium. Its description in RNAcentral is "partial 16S ribosomal RNA". It matches the Rfam family "Bacterial small subunit ribosomal RNA", at positions 30 to 507 of the family's 1533-position model. The record is from RNAcentral.